Molecule: ribosomal RNA, 253 nt
Filed under: uncultured bacterium
Lineage: Bacteria
Description: partial 16S ribosomal RNA
Rfam family: Bacterial small subunit ribosomal RNA
Source: RNAcentral
UACGUAGGGGGCAAGCGUUGUCCGGAAUUACUGGGCGUAAAGAGUGUGUAGGCGGUGCUCCAAGUCUGGUGUGAAAUCUCCCGGCUUAACUGGGAGGGUGCAUUAGAAACUGGAAUGCUAGAGGAUGGGAGAGGUAAGUGGAAUUCCCGGUGUAGUGGUGAAAUGCGUAGAUAUCGGGAGGAACACCAGUGGCGAAGGCGACUUCUUGGCCUGUUCUUGACGCUGAGGCGCGAAAGCUGGGGGAGCAAACGGG